RNAcentral lists this ribosomal RNA (476 nucleotides) under uncultured organism. RNAcentral describes it as "partial 16S ribosomal RNA". It matches the Rfam family "Bacterial small subunit ribosomal RNA", at positions 333 to 800 of the family's 1533-position model. The record is from RNAcentral.
ACACUCCUGCGGGAGGCAGCAGUGGGGAAUAUUGCACAAUGGGCGCAAGCCUGAUGCAGCCAUGCCGCGUGUAUGAAGAAGGCCUUCGGGUUGUAAAGUACUUUCAGCGGGGAGGAAGGCGAUAAGGUUAAUAACCUUGUUGAUUGACGUUACCCGCAGAAGAAGCACCGGCUAACUCCGUGCCAGCAGCCGCGGUAAUACGGAGGGUGCAAGCGUUAAUCGGAAUUACUGGGCGUAAAGCGCACGCAGGCGGUCUGUCAAGUCGGAUGUGAAAUCCCCGGGCUCAACCUGGGAACUGCAUUCGAAACUGGCAGGCUAGAGUCUUGUAGAGGGGGGUAGAAUUCCAGGUGUAGCGGUGAAAUGCGUAGAGAUCUGGAGGAAUACCGGUGGCGAAGGCGGCCCCCUGGACAAAGACUGACGCUCAGGUGCGAAAGCGUGGGGAGCAAACAGGAUUAGAAACCCGUGUAGUCCCAUGA